UUCUAGGUCAAGCUACUAAGGGUAGACGGUGGAUGCCUUGGUGCGAAGAGGCGAUG
RNAcentral lists this ribosomal RNA (56 nucleotides) under Acidobacteriota bacterium. RNAcentral's name for it is "Acidobacteria bacterium partial 23S ribosomal RNA". The record is from RNAcentral. Lineage: Bacteria; Pseudomonadati; Acidobacteriota.